ACAAACAGAGGAGGUCUCAUUGCACCUA
RNAcentral lists this small RNA (28 nucleotides) under Bombyx mori (domestic silkworm). Its description in RNAcentral is "ovarian small RNA-10896". Lineage: Eukaryota; Metazoa; Arthropoda; Insecta; Lepidoptera; Bombycidae. The record is from RNAcentral.